UACGUAGGGCGCAAGCGUUAUCCGGAAUUAUUGGGCGAAAAGAGCUCGUAGGCGGUUUGUCGCGUCUGCCGGGAAAGUCCGGGGCUCAACGCCGGAUCUGCGGUGGGUACGGGCAGGCUAGAGGGAUGUAGGGGAGCCUGGUAUUCCUGGUGUAGCGGUGAAAUGCGCAGAUAUCAGGAGGAACACCGAUGGCGAAGGCAGGUCUCUGGGCAGUAACUGACGCUGAGGAGCGAAAGCAUGGGGAGCGAACAGG
Molecule: unclassified non-coding RNA, 253 nt
Filed under: uncultured Micrococcaceae bacterium
Lineage: Bacteria; Bacillati; Actinomycetota; Actinomycetes; Micrococcales; Micrococcaceae
Description: contains 16S-23S intergenic spacer region
Rfam family: Bacterial small subunit ribosomal RNA
Source: RNAcentral